CUUGGCCGGGAUCGCCAUCCACCAGCGCGUUGCGCCCGUGGGUGCCGUUGCC
RNAcentral lists this small RNA (52 nucleotides) under Gemmobacter megaterium. RNAcentral describes it as "Catellibacterium sp. CF17 ffh sRNA". It matches the Rfam family "ffh sRNA". Lineage: Bacteria; Pseudomonadati; Pseudomonadota; Alphaproteobacteria; Rhodobacterales; Paracoccaceae. The record is from Rfam by way of RNAcentral.